RNAcentral lists this ribosomal RNA (253 nucleotides) under uncultured bacterium. Its description in RNAcentral is "partial 16S ribosomal RNA". It matches the Rfam family "Bacterial small subunit ribosomal RNA", at positions 524 to 776 of the family's 1533-position model. The record is from RNAcentral.
UACGUAGGGUGCAAGCGUUGUCCGGAAUUAUUGGGCGUAAAGAGCUUGUAGGCGGUUUGUCGCGUCUGCUGUGAAAUUUCGGGGCUCAACCCCGAACUUGCAGUGGGUACGGGCAGACUAGAGUGUGGUAGGGGAGACUGGAAUUCCUGGUGUAGCGGUGAAAUGCGCAGAUAUCAGGAGGAACACCGAUGGCGAAGGCAGCUUGCUGGGCCACACCUGACACUGAGGUACGAAAGCGUGGGGAGCGAACAGG